GGGUCAGUAGGUUGGUCGUGCCACCGGUACGUACUGGUCUCGCUGAUUCCUCCUUCCUGAAGAACCGUAAUGCCAUUAAUUUGGUGUUGCGGGGAAACAGGACUGUUACUUUGAAAAAAUUAGAGUGUUUAAAGCAAGCUAACGCUUGAAUACAUUAGCAUGGAAUAAUGAAAUAGGACGAUCGAUCAUAUUUUGUUGGUUUCUAGGAUUGACGUA
Molecule: ribosomal RNA, 216 nt
Filed under: Glomeromycotina sp.
Lineage: Eukaryota; Fungi; Glomeromycota
Description: partial small subunit ribosomal RNA
Rfam family: Eukaryotic small subunit ribosomal RNA (bases 44-216)
Source: RNAcentral